Molecule: non-coding RNA, 98 nt
Organism: Mycobacterium kansasii
Lineage: Bacteria; Bacillati; Actinomycetota; Actinomycetes; Mycobacteriales; Mycobacteriaceae
Source: Rfam
GUCGGAUUGGGGAUGAAUCGGUUGACGCGGUCGCCGAUGAUCGCCUGGGUAUGGCGGCCGUCGCUGAACAUCUGCACACCACGGCGGCGAAACCGCUU